UUAAGUAGACCGCCUGGGGAGUACGGCCGCAAGGUUAAAACUCAAAUGAAUUGACGGGGGCCCGCACAAGCGGUGGAGCAUGUGGUUUAAUUCGAUGCAACGCGAAGAACCUUACCUGGUCUUGACAUCCACAGAACUUUCCAGAGAUGGAUUGGUGCCUUCGGGAACUGUGAGACAGGUGCUGCAUGGCUGUCGUCAGCUCGUGUUGUGAAAUGUUGGGUUAAGUCCCGCAACGAGCGCAACCCUUAUCCUUUGUUGCCAGCGGUCCGGCCGGGAACUCAAAGGAGACUGCCAGUGAUAAACUGGAGGAAGGUGGGGAUGACGUCAAGUCAUCAUGGCCCUUACGACCAGGGCUACACACGUGCUACAAUGGCGCAUACAAAGAGAAGCGACCUCGCGAGAGCAAGCGGACCUCAUAAAGUGCGUCGUAGUCCGGAUUGGAGUCUGCAACUCGACUCCAUGAAGUCGGAAUCGCUAGUAAUCGUGGAUCAGAAUGCCACGGUGAAUACGUUCCCGGGCCUUGUACACACCGCCCGUCACACCAUGGGAGUGGGUUGCAAAAGAAGUAGGUAGCUUAACCUUCGGGAGGGCGCUUACCACUUUGUGAUUCAUGACUGGGGUGAAGUCGUAACAAGGUAACCGUAGGGGAACCUGC
Molecule: ribosomal RNA, 655 nt
Filed under: Salmonella enterica
Lineage: Bacteria; Pseudomonadati; Pseudomonadota; Gammaproteobacteria; Enterobacterales; Enterobacteriaceae
Description: bacterial SSU rRNA
Rfam family: Bacterial small subunit ribosomal RNA
Source: RNAcentral